CUCCCAUGGAGCUUUGGAAGGAACUUUUCUUUGCCAGGCCUAUAGACAUUCAUUGUCAGGGCUGCCAUGAGCUAGGAAGCCUUGUUUGCCUGCGUCUGACAGGA
Molecule: small nucleolar RNA, 104 nt
Filed under: Sorex araneus (European shrew)
Lineage: Eukaryota; Metazoa; Chordata; Mammalia; Eulipotyphla; Soricidae
Source: RNAcentral